Molecule: ribosomal RNA, 450 nt
Filed under: uncultured Carnobacteriaceae bacterium
Lineage: Bacteria; Bacillati; Bacillota; Bacilli; Lactobacillales; Carnobacteriaceae
Description: bacterial SSU rRNA
Rfam family: Bacterial small subunit ribosomal RNA
Source: RNAcentral
GUAGGGAAUCUUCCGCAAUGGACGAAAGUCUGACGGAGCAACGCCGCGUGAGUGAAGAAGGUUUUCGGAUCGUAAAACUCUGUUGUCGGAGAAGAACAAGUAGGAGAGUAACUGUUCCUACCUUGACGGUACCCGACCAGAAAGCCACGGCUAACUACGUGCCAGCAGCCGCGGUAAUACGUAGGUGGCAAGCGUUGUCCGGAUUUAUUGGGCGUAAAGCGAGCGCAGGUGGUUUCUUAAGUCUGAUGUGAAAGCCCACGGCUCAACCGUGGAAGGUCAUUGGAAACUGGGGAACUUGAAUGCAGAAGAGGAGAGUGGAAUUCCAUGUGUAGCGGUGAAAUGCGUAGAUAUAUGGAGGAACACCAGUGGCGAAGGCGACUCUCUGGUCUGUUAUUGACACUGAGGCUCGAAAGCGUGGGGAGCAAACAGGAUUAGAAACCCUAGUAGUCC